AGUGAACGCUGGCGGUAGGCCUAACACAUGCAAGUCGAACGGCAGCACAGUAAGAGCUUGCUCUUACGGGUGGCGAGUGGCGGACGGGUGAGGAAUACAUCGGAAUCUACUUUUUCGUGGGGGAUAACGUAGGGAAACUUACGCUAAUACCGCAUACGACCUACGGGUGAAAGCAGGGGAUCUUCGGACCUUGCGCGAUUGAAUGAGCCGAUGUCGGAUUAGCGAGUUGGCGGGGUAAAGGCCCACCAAGGCGACGAUCCGUAGCUGGUCUGAGAGGAUGGUCAGCCACACUGGAACUGAGACACGGUCCAGACUCUUACGGGAGGCAGCAGUGGGGAAUAUUGGACAAUGGGCGCAAGCCUGAUCCAGCCAUACCGCGUGGGUGAAGAAGGCCUUCGGGUUGUAAAGCCCUUUUGUUGGGAAGGAAAAGCAGCAGGUUAAUACCCCGCUGUUCUGACGGUACCCAAAGAAUAAGCACCGGCUAACUUCGUG
This 492-nucleotide ribosomal RNA is filed under the name uncultured bacterium. RNAcentral describes it as "partial 16S ribosomal RNA". It matches the Rfam family "Bacterial small subunit ribosomal RNA", at positions 29 to 507 of the family's 1533-position model. The record is from RNAcentral.